Long non-coding RNA from Alligator sinensis (Chinese alligator), 306 nucleotides. RefSeq lists it as uncharacterized. NCBI's taxonomy places the organism in Eukaryota, Metazoa, Chordata, Crocodylia, Alligatoridae. The transcript is spliced from 3 exons. The record is from RefSeq and is a predicted model, not a curated record.
GCUCGCAGCCUCUCUUCAUAAGGUCUAUUCUCUGGUCCUCUGAUCAGGGAAGACGAAGUGAUAUUGGAAUGGGGGGACAGUUUGUGGAGCCAGCUGAGGUAUUAACCCCAUCAUCAAUUGAAGGCUUCUGAUCAGCAGAGUAGUUCAGAGUCUCAAGGUGACAUUGGAUUUUGCACUGCUUCUCAGUGCACAGAGUGCAACAUGUCCCCAGGGUCUGAUCUGUAGCUUCCAACAACCAGUCUGAUACUCUAAUGAAGGCCAACCAUGAAAACUCCAACUAUGGUCUGCGAGUCAAGUAGGACCCUG